This 373-nucleotide ribosomal RNA is filed under the name uncultured organism. RNAcentral's name for it is "partial 16S ribosomal RNA". It matches the Rfam family "Bacterial small subunit ribosomal RNA", at positions 527 to 896 of the family's 1533-position model. The record is from RNAcentral.
GUAGGUGGCAAGCGUUGUCCGGAAUUAUUGGGCGUAAAGCGCGCGCAGGCGGUCCUUUAAGUCUGAUGUGAAAGCCCACGGCUCAACCGUGGAGGGUCAUUGGAAACUGAGGGACUUGAGUACAGAAGAGGAAAGCGGAAUUCCACGUGUAGCGGUGAAAUGCGUAGAGAUGUGGAGGAACACCAGUGGCGAAGGCGGCUUUCUGGUCUGUAACUGACGCUGAGGCGCGAAAGCGUGGGGAGCAAACAGGGAUUAGAUACCCUGGUAGUCCACGCCGUAAACGAUGAGUGCUAAGUGUUAGGGGGUUUCCCGCCCCUUAGUGCUGCAGCUAACGCAUUAAGCACUCCGCCUGGGGAGUACGACCGCAAGGUUG